CCUACGGGAGGCAGCAGUGGGGGAUAUUGCACAAUGGGGGAAACCCUGAUGCAGCGACGCCGCGUGGGUGAAGAAGCGCCUCGGCGCGUAAAGCCCUGUCAGCAGGGAAGAAAAUGACGGUACCUGAAGAAGCAGCCCCGGCUAACUACGUGCCAGCAGCCGCGGUACUACGUAGGGGGCGAGCGUUAUCCGGAUUUACUGGGUGUAAGGGGGGCGCAGACGGCGAUGCAAGCCAGGAGUGAAAGCCCGGGGCUCAACCCCGGGACUGCGCUUGGAACUGGGUGGCGAGAGUGCAGGAGGGGCAGGCGGAAUUCCUGGGGUAGCGGUGAAAUGCGUAGAUAUCAGGAAGAACACCGGUGGCGAAGGCGGCCUGCUGGACUGCAACUGACGUUGAGGCCCGAAAGCGUGGGGAGCAAACAGGAUUAGAUACCCCAGUAGUC
This 440-nucleotide ribosomal RNA is filed under the name uncultured bacterium. RNAcentral describes it as "partial 16S ribosomal RNA". It matches the Rfam family "Bacterial small subunit ribosomal RNA", at positions 338 to 795 of the family's 1533-position model. The record is from RNAcentral.